CCUGUCGCUCAUGAGAGCUUGGAGCGGGAAUGGUUGUGAAUGUUCUAUGUCCUGCAUAUUAUGUGGAUGGCCCACCCUGACCAAACAAGCAGUCUGCAAGGAUCCCAUGAUGUAAGUCGUGACAUCCUGGCAGCUAAUGUCCCGGGAAUCGGCUCAGGCUGGCAACAGAGCAAGCAAAACUGGGCGCUGCUUGCAGUGGUGGGAACAUGGGUCA
RNAcentral lists this signal recognition particle RNA (214 nucleotides) under Pseudo-nitzschia fraudulenta. RNAcentral's name for it is "partial Protozoan signal recognition particle RNA". It matches the Rfam family "Metazoan signal recognition particle RNA", at positions 21 to 249 of the family's 299-position model. Rfam says of the family: The signal recognition particle (SRP) is a universally conserved ribonucleoprotein. It is involved in the co-translational targeting of proteins to membranes. The record is from RNAcentral. Lineage: Eukaryota; Bacillariophyta; Bacillariophyceae; Bacillariales; Bacillariaceae.